This 440-nucleotide ribosomal RNA is filed under the name uncultured bacterium. RNAcentral describes it as "partial 16S ribosomal RNA". It matches the Rfam family "Bacterial small subunit ribosomal RNA", at positions 338 to 795 of the family's 1533-position model. The record is from RNAcentral.
CCUACGGGAGGCAGCAGUGGGGAAUAUUGCACAAUGGGGGAAACCCUGAUGCAGCGACGCCGCGUGAGUGAAGAAGUAUCUCGGUACGUAAAGCUCUAUCAGCAGGGAAGAAAAUGACGGUACCUGACUAAGAAGCCCCGGCUAACUACGUGCCAGCAGCCGCGGUAAUACGUAGGGGGCAAACGUUAUCCGGAUUUACUGGGGGUAAAGGGAGCGUAGACGGCAGCAGAAGUCUGGAGUGAAAUCCCGGGGCUUAACCCCGGAACUGCUUUGGAAACUGUGCGGCUGGAGUGCAGGAGGGGUAAGCGGAAUGCCUGGUGUAGCGGUGAAAUGCGUAGAUAUUAGGAGGAACACCGGUGGCGAAGGCGGCUUACUGGACUGUAACUGACGUUGAGGCUCGAAAGCGUGGGGAGCAAACAGGAUUAGAUACCCGGGUAGUC